AUUGAACGCUGGCGGCAUGCCUUACACAUGCAAGUCGAACGGUAACAGGUUAAGCUGACGAGUGGCGAACGGGUGAGUAAUGUAUCGGAACGUGCCCAGUCGUGGGGGAUAACUGCUCGAAAGAGCAGCUAAUACCGCAUACGACCUGAGGGUGAAAGCGGGGGAUCGCAAGACCUCGCGCGAUUGGAGCGGCCGAUAUCAGAUUAGGUAGUUGGUGAGGUAAAGGCUCACCAAGCCGACGAUCUGUAGCUGGUCUGAGAGGACGACCAGCCACACUGGGACUGAGACACGGCCCAGACUCCUACGGGAGGCAGCAGUGGGGAAUUUUGGACAAUGGGCGCAAGCCUGAUCCAGCCAUGCCGCGUGCGGGAAGAAGGCCUUCGGGUUGUAAACCGCUUUUGUCAGGGAAGAAAAGGUUCUGGCUAAUACCUGGGUCUCAUGACGGUACCUGAAGAAUAAGCACCGGCUAACUACGUG
This 477-nucleotide ribosomal RNA is filed under the name uncultured bacterium. RNAcentral's name for it is "partial 16S ribosomal RNA". It matches the Rfam family "Bacterial small subunit ribosomal RNA", at positions 30 to 507 of the family's 1533-position model. The record is from RNAcentral.